RNAcentral lists this microRNA precursor (95 nucleotides) under Human alphaherpesvirus 1 (Herpes simplex virus type 1). RNAcentral's name for it is "microRNA hsv1-mir-H17 precursor". Its record names the gene hsv1-mir-H17. The record is from miRBase by way of RNAcentral. Lineage: Duplodnaviria; Heunggongvirae; Peploviricota; Herviviricetes; Herpesvirales; Orthoherpesviridae.
GGCCCACUCGCACGCCGCCUGCGCGCGCUGGGGCCUGGGCGCGCCGCUGCGGCCCGUGUACGUGGCGCUGGGGCGCGAGGCGGUGCGCGCCGGCC